UAAGGAGGAUGCGAGCGGUAUCCGGAUUUAUUGGGUUUAAAGGGUGCGUAGGCGGAAUGGUAAGUCAGUGGUGAAAUGGUGCAGCUCAACUGUAGCAUUGCCAUUGAUACUGUCAUUCUUGAGUACAGAUGAGGUAGGCGGAAUGUGGUGUGUAGCGGUGAAAUGCUUAGAUAUACCACAGAACACCGAUUGCGAAGGCAGCUUACUAAGCUGACACUGACGCUGAAGCACGAAAGCGUGGGUAUCAAACAGG
Molecule: ribosomal RNA, 253 nt
Filed under: uncultured prokaryote
Description: partial 16S ribosomal RNA
Rfam family: Bacterial small subunit ribosomal RNA
Source: RNAcentral